UUCCUACGGGAGGCAGCAGUAGGGAAAUCUUCCGCAAUGGACGAAAGUCUGACGGAGCAACGCCGCAUGAGUGAUGAAGGUUUUCGGAUCGUAAAACUCUGUUGUUAGGGAAGAACAAGUGCCGGAGUAACUGCCGGUACCUUGACGGCACCUAACCAGAAAGCCACGGCUAACUACGUGCCAGCAGCCGCGGUAAUACGUAGGUGGCAAGCGUUGUCCGGAAUUAUUGGGCGUAAAGCGCGCGCAGGCGGUUCCUUAAGUCUGAUGUGAAAGCCCCCGGCUCAACCGGGGAGGGUCAUUGGAAACUGGGGAACUUGAGUGCAGAAGAGAAGAGUGGAAUUCCACGUGUAGCGGUGAAAUGCGUAGAGAUGUGGAGGAACACCAGUGGCGAAGGCGACUCUUUGGUCUGUAACUGACGCUGAGGCGCGAAAGCGUGGGGAGCAAACAGGAUUAGAUACCCUGGUAGUCCACGCCGUAAACGAUGAUUGCUAGUUGUCGGGAUGCAUGCAUUUCGGUGACGCAGCUAACGCAUUAAGCAAUCCGCCUGGGGAGUACGGUCGCAAGAUUAAAACUCAAAGGAAUUGACGGA
This 589-nucleotide ribosomal RNA is filed under the name Bacillus sp. R-93. RNAcentral describes it as "bacterial SSU rRNA". It matches the Rfam family "Bacterial small subunit ribosomal RNA", at positions 336 to 917 of the family's 1533-position model. The record is from RNAcentral. Lineage: Bacteria; Bacillati; Bacillota; Bacilli; Caryophanales; Bacillaceae.